GAUGAACGCUGGCGGCGUGCCUAACACAUGCAAGUAGAACGCUGAAGGAAGGAGUUUGCCCUGUCCGGGAGAGGCGCGAAGGGGUGUGUAACGUGUGGGUAACUCCCCUGGUAGCGGGGGACAACUAGUGGAAACGAUAGCUAACACCGCAUAACAGCAGAUGUUGCAGGAUAUCUACUUAAAAGGUGCAAUUGCAGCACUACCAGAUGGACUUGCGUUGUAUUAGCUUGUUGGUGAGGUAACGGCUCACCAAGGCGACGGUACAUAGCCGACCUGAGAGGGUGAUCGGCCCCACUGGGACUGGGACACGGCCCAGGCUCCUUCAGGGAGCAGCCAUAGGGGAACUUCGGCCAUGGGGGGAAAUCUGACCGAACAACGCCGGGGGGGUGAAGAAGGUUUUCGGGUCGUAAAACUCUGUUGUAAGGGAAGGACGAGUGUGGGAGUGGAACGUUCACGGUGUGACGGUAUCUGACCAGAAAGCAACGGCUAACUACGUG
Molecule: ribosomal RNA, 497 nt
Filed under: uncultured bacterium
Lineage: Bacteria
Description: partial 16S ribosomal RNA
Rfam family: Bacterial small subunit ribosomal RNA
Source: RNAcentral